This 1882-nucleotide small RNA is filed under the name Cryptococcus neoformans H99. RNAcentral describes it as "Cryptococcus neoformans var. grubii H99 hypothetical RNA". Lineage: Eukaryota; Fungi; Basidiomycota; Tremellomycetes; Tremellales; Cryptococcaceae. The record is from RNAcentral.
GCUUAGUUAUAGUCCAGACAAUAUCAGUUCCUCACCUUGAACUAUCUUUGUAGCACCAUAAACUAGGCUACCGAGAUUCUAACGCCUUGCAAAUGGAAGUACGUAAAUGCGUUGCCGUCGCUUUACAAGAAGAGAUAUAUCAACUCUGCAUUCUUGUUUUAAAUCCGGCGGCUAGCUGUAAGCACCUUAUAAAUCAUCCAAGACAUGCUCAUCGCUAUCACCCCUUCAUUCUCAGGUGAUUCCAUCACCCAUAAAAGUCUGAAAGUGGUUUCUCCAAUUCCGAUGCGCCUGCCGCGUCUGGGUUCGCGAUUCUCAACGUUUCUUCUCUUUUGACCAUUUCCCACAUUGUCUUUGUUCUUACCUGCGCUAGGGCUGUUCCUCUCUGCUUUAAGAUAAAAGCAGUAUCACGGGGUGCAAGCGAUCCCUUGAACGUAGGCAAAGUGCUGCUGGUACGCAUGCUCUGCGAAACAUACUCUCUUUCGGAGAUGACAAACGGAGUGCAAUUAUCUGAGGGAGCGGCAUCUUCAGGCGACCUUGAACUCUUACUGAUAGGCCCGGAAUACAUCUUCAUGCCUCCGGAUGAGCUUCCGAGUGCAGGGGAAUAAAAGCUCCUAGGUGCGAGAAGUCCCAUAGGAGUAUUGCCUCCUCUUUUGUUGAUAGAAUUGACAACUUCUCGCACAGGCCGUCGUCUUGCCUUAUGUGCAGAUGCGGCGCAAAAAUCAGAUGAUGCUCCAGAGCUGAUCGGUGUUACAUGUUCAGGAGGAGGCUCCAUUUCACUCGGGGAAUGGGAAGGGAUAGACGGGUCCGUCUGGGAUGUGCCAGUGGCAGCUUCUUCCAGACUUGAAUCCUUGUCAGAACCAGGGGGAAUAGGCGAAUCUAUGACAGUGCCUGGAUCCACAAUCGCAUUUAACGACAGAUCCAAAACUCUGGGCUCGAAAGCCAGGCUGUCCAUCAAAAUCGCCGCCUCACACCCUUCACGCGACGUCACUUGCUUACAGGCGAAGCCAUUUUUUCCCUCAUGAUCCUCCUUUGGCGCGCAUACGUUCUCAAUGGAUUCUCUUCGCUGUAGACGGUUUGUUAAGCCUGUGGCUUCCAGCUCGCGGGACCCGCCAGAAUCACUCCUAUCAAUGAUGCCAAAUGUCUCAAUGCAGUCCUGCGUCUCUUCUUUCUGUACAAUGAUCAUGUCCCUCAUAGACCUGAGGGACGUAAGACUGGAAAGACUAGGGCCAUAAGAGUCGUUUGGUGGACACUCUCGAGAAACCUUGUCCCUCCAGUUCACCGGUGGAUGUUGUCUAUUUUCAUGCGCAACCAAGGAUGGAGUUGCAAUCGUUAAAGGACAAAGCUGAUCUUGAGAGAUAACAGGCCAGAGAGUUGGUUGUGGCGCAGGAUCACGGAUUUUUAGCUGAUUCAUAGACAAGCGCCCACUGGCUUGACUCGGUCGGCGGCUCAAGAAAGCGGAUGCGCUUGCUUCGGCCAUACGCCUAAAGAUCGAGUCGUUGCGGUAAAGGGGGGGCUGAUUCGUUGGAGAUGGCUGAUUUUCCGCAGCAAGAUGGGCGUCCUGACUAAAACACUCGUCCAUGUCACCAGAGUGGCGAGAGGCGAGGGAUUCACGGAUGCGUGCAGAAUGUGGAUUCGACCUUAGCGAGUCAUAUCCAGGUAUGGGAAAGGCAUUGGUGACCCCUGGAAAUUCAAGCGGUUCAGAAGGCGUGACGUUCGGGAGCCGGUAUUGUAAAGACUCGUAAUGCGAGCUUCGAGGCAUGAGAACCGCCUCUGUCUGAGUGGGGAAUAGUAACGGAUCACCGAUUUCCUUCUCCUCAGUACCAUUAUUACUGUUUGAUGAAUACAAUUUUUCAGCAUGGUUUCUCAAGCCGCCAGGCUCCUU